AUGAAGAAAAGACUUUGGCCGGGGAAUCCUUGUUGUUCCUUUUGUGAUCAAUUGGAAACAACCCAUCACUUGCUAUUUUUAUGCCCUGUCUCUAGAGUGGUGUGGAGAACUGUAGGAUCUCUACUUGAGACUCAUUGCUGUCCUAAUUCUGUUUGGCAAUAUUAUGCUUGGGUUUAUAGUUUCUUGCCUGGCCUUGAUCAAAUUUACACCGUUGGUUUGGUAGCUAUAUGCUGGGCUAUCUGGCUGGCUCGGAACCGGGCCACCUUUGAGUACAAAUGGAUUAACACUCCGUUUGAGACUGUGUUCACAACUUGUGCCUUUUUGAUGUACUGGGAAGGUCUCCAGAAACCUGAGAUGGAAGAGAUGGUGAAGAGGGGCGUGGAGAUGCUGAAAGAGAACACAACACAGAUGAUGAUGCUAUGCGGUCCUCCGGCUCCGACCAUGGACGGGCGCGAUGGGAACUGA
Molecule: ribosomal RNA, 465 nt
Filed under: Triticum aestivum (bread wheat)
Lineage: Eukaryota; Viridiplantae; Streptophyta; Magnoliopsida; Poales; Poaceae
Description: partial small subunit ribosomal RNA
Source: RNAcentral